GAAUAGAUGACCGAAUCGGUAAGGAAGUAGUUUGCUAAACUAUGGAUGUAAUAAUCCUUGUGGGUUCAAGUCCCACUCUAUUCA
Absidia glauca is the source of this 84-nucleotide non-coding RNA. The record is from Rfam. Lineage: Eukaryota; Fungi; Mucoromycota; Mucoromycetes; Mucorales; Cunninghamellaceae.